UUAGCCUUUAAUAUAUUUGUUG
RNAcentral lists this microRNA (22 nucleotides) under Mus musculus (house mouse). RNAcentral describes it as "mmu-miR-6365". Lineage: Eukaryota; Metazoa; Chordata; Mammalia; Rodentia; Muridae. The record is from miRBase by way of RNAcentral.